GACAUUCAGAGUCUAGGUUUGCAAGGGAGCAGAGGAACAGGAUGAAGGGAGCUAUCUGCCAUGGGACCAUCGGUGACAUUCAUGUUAAGGUUUCAGGAGGGCUGGCUGGCUGGGAUAAAGCUGUGUCGUCGAAGAACCCCGUGGACUGGUAUCUAAUGAUCCAGCCUUCAAUCAGAAGAACAGUCUAAUAAGGUUUUGACUGGACCUCUCUCUUCCCAGGGAAUGAGGACAGUGGCCGCCAUGAAAGAAUGCCGAACUGCCUCUGCCGUACCACUGCGUGUUCUCAAACGACAAGAAAGGCUGUAUUUAACAAAUUCGAGAACUAAUCCCGGCAAGGGAAGCUUGAGACUGUGCCCAAAAAUAACUCCAUCCGGGUGACAGAGUGCUGUCGGCCCUCCGUGGUUGAGCCUCUGCGGAAACCAGCUCCACCAACAAGUUGGCACUCUGGAAUCAGACCUAGACUGCCGGCAACAAUUUGGUCUUAAGUACACACAACCGGCAUCACCAGGAUUGCACACUGCUUGCCUCCGAGCACCUGCCAUGGUAAUUCCUCAAACCCCCUGUCACUACACCAUCACACCCCACUUCCCAGGAGAGAGGACUGAGGCCCAACAUGGCUUCUCAACAUCAUCCAAAGUGACAAAGGAGCCUAAUUCCCAUGAUCCAACCAAUGUACCUGAGCAAGACCAUUCUCAACCGGAAAUGAAAUGCAUGCUGUGGAAGGUACUGCUAGAAAGAUAACAGAGCGCUCACCAGAUUCGGACCCCAUACAAAGGGCCCACGAGACAAGACUGGGUUACUCGCCAUCAACUUCCGUGAGAGACUUCUGCUCCUUCUCAGACACCCGGGAGCUUGUCUGCUGCUUCUUUGUAGUGUAUUUCGAUCAAUUCUCUGUCCUUUGUGCCUUUGGUAAAUUCUUUUACCAAUUGUCCCCACUGGCCUCGCCCACCAUUCUACGUGGACACCCUCCUCCCCGCCCCCAAAGUCCAUAAAAAGCCCAAUGCUAUCCAUGGGCUGAUGUCUAUUCUGAAAGUGCUGGAAGGAAGACGCUGGAACUAGCUCUUGGAGAGAAAAACAGAUUAUUUUCCCCCCAGUAUCCUCAGGGGGUAGGUUCCAGGAGCCCCAGUAUCCCCAAAUCCACAGAUGCUCAGGUCUUUUAUAUAAGAUGGAAUGUUUGUAGAACCUAUACAUCCUCUUGAAUAUUUAACUCUGUAGAUUACUGAGUACACCAAGCUCAGUGUAACUACUGUAAAUCAUGGGGGAAAAGACCAUGUCUGUACAGGUGCAACUGAAAAGUACAGAUGUUUACAAGAGCCAGAGAUGGUGGCGCACACUUGCGUCCUCAGGUGGGACACAACUUCAGGUGAUUCAAAAUUACUUCACUCUCAGUACCUGAAGAGACAGAAGCAGUCAGACUGCAAGUCUCAGGCCAGCCAGGGCUACAUAGGAGAGUCUAGUCUUAGGAUCAAGAAAAGGAACCAACAAACCUCCUCUCCAAACAAAAUCAAUCAAGCACCAUUUUUUCCCCCUGCAGUUGGCUGAACCCUUGGCAGCUGCCAUGGGUGUAGUUUUGUACUUUGGGUGUUAUUAGUGAUAGAAGCUAUGCAGGGAUCAGCAAUAGUUGCCGUGUGUUUCAUUGUUAUUCAGAAAAUGAGGAAUGUACAUGAGGGAAGUAAAGAACAGAACUUUAUCAGCCAACCUUCACAGGGCCAAGAAUAUGUGAGAACAUUAAGCCAGACCAAUGAUGAGGUAAAACCACCCAUAAAGAGAGAGAGGAGGUGAUGAUUGGAAGCGUCCAUCAGGCUUAGAGAGGGGUCUAUGCAGGGCAGAGUCCAAGGGUAGUGACACCCAAUGGUGAGAGUCAGCAAUUAGGCUUCCAUCGCCAAGCUCCUCACAUGGCUCCUUGUAGGUAGCACACACAGUUGGACCAUGCUUGCCCAACACAGGCUGCCUGACCCUUGUCUAUUCUUAGUGACCUAACAGAAUGCUUGCUAUUAGGGCACAGAAUGCAAGACUGAAGCCCUUGAACAGUUUGCAACAUUAUUGUGAAAGGACGUUUGGCUCCAGAAACAGCCAGCCAGGAGAUUUGCUCGUAGCAAACUUGUUAUCUUUCUGACCUCACCAGUGAAGCCAGGAUAAAUUCUGAGCUGUGCAAACCAAGCUCUUAUAAAAGGGAAGAUAUUUUGAUUCCCUUUUGGAAUGGUACGGGAGAUGGAGCCUGUACCAUUUCUGGUGUCAGACUUGGUAAGCAGUCGCUGUAUGCAGGAUUUGUAGAUAAUUACAAAUCCUCACGAUGCCCUUUCAGGGUGAAUAUCAGCUUUGUAACAGCAUCAGAGUUUGGCCAAAGCAGACUCUGUCUGUGAUAAUAAGCACCUACAAAUAUCCAGAGUUUUGCUGCAAGACCUCAGGCCUCUUUCCUUAUUACCAAGGUCUCCAGUGGUUACCAGUUUGUCAACAAGCUGUUUCAGAACUUGUAAUUAGGGGCCAGAGGGAUGACUCAGCAGUUAAGCGUGCCCACUGCCCUUGCACAGGACUGCAGUUUGGUUCCCAGCACCCACAUCGGGUGGCUCACAAUGAAUUGUAACUCCCUUUCCAGGGGAUCCCAAACAUUUUUUUUUUGUCCUCUUCAGGUAUUGCACACAAAUAAAAAAAGUGUGUGUUUUUUU
Long non-coding RNA from Meriones unguiculatus (Mongolian gerbil), 2666 nucleotides. RefSeq lists it as uncharacterized. The transcript is spliced from 4 exons. The record is from RefSeq and is a predicted model, not a curated record. NCBI's taxonomy places the organism in Eukaryota, Metazoa, Chordata, Mammalia, Rodentia, Muridae.